This 439-nucleotide unclassified non-coding RNA is filed under the name Hevea brasiliensis (rubber tree). The record is from RNAcentral. Lineage: Eukaryota; Viridiplantae; Streptophyta; Magnoliopsida; Malpighiales; Euphorbiaceae.
UUGCAAACCCAGAAACCAUAAUUUUCCACGAAACAGCAUCUCUAAUAUUCAUUCCUCUAAAGUACUCCUUGGCCAAAUCAACUUGUUGAUUGUUCAAUAGCCCGCCUAUCACCAAGUUCCAAGAAAUCACAUUUCUCAUAUCCAAUGGCAUCCCAUUGAAUAUUCUCACUGCUUCGUCAAUCCACCCCUCAUGAACAUAACCCGCAAUAAUCGAAUUCCAUGAAACAACGUCUCGAAAUGGCAUGCCAUCAAAAAGCUCCCUAGCACCAUCCAAAUCACCAUACUGCAUCAACCCGGAAAUCACUAUAUUAUAUGUAUAAAUAUCACGCUCAGGCAUUACAUUAAACAAACUGAGCGCCUUUUGGGAUUGCCCAUUCUGAAAGUAACCACGGAUCAUAGCAUUCCAAGUGACGGUAUUUCGUUGAGGCAUUUCAUCGAA